GAAUUCGCCCUUGUUUGAUCAUGGCUCAGGAUGAACGCUGGCGGCGUGCUUAACACAUGCAAGUCGAACGGGAAUUACUUUAUUGAAACUUCGGUCGAUAUGAUUUAAUUCUAGUGGCGGACGGGUGAGUAACGCGUGGGUAACCUGCCUUAUACAGGGGGAUAACAGUCAGAAAUGACUGCUAAUACCGCAUAAGCGCACAGAGCUGCAUGGCUCGGUGUGAAAAACUCCGGUGGUAUAAGAUGGACCCGCGUUGGAUUAGCUAGUUGGUGAGGUAACGGCCCACCAAGGCGACGAUCCAUAGCCGGCCUGAGAGGGUGAACGGCCACAUUGGGACUGAGACACGGCCCAGACUCCUACGGGAGGCAGCAGUGGGGAAUAUUGCACAAUGGGGGAAACCCUGAUGCAGCGACGCCGCGUGAAGGAAGAAGUAUCUCGGUAUGUAAACUUCUAUCAGCAGGGAAGAAAAUGACGGUACCUGACUAAGAAGCCCCGGCUAACUACGUGCCAGCAGCCGCGGUAAUACGUAGGGGGCAAGCGUUAUCCGGAUUUACUGGGUGUAAAGGGAGCGUAGACGGAUGGACAAGUCUGAUGUGAAAGGCUGGGGCUCAACCCCGGGACUGCAUUGGAAACUGCCCG
RNAcentral lists this ribosomal RNA (639 nucleotides) under uncultured bacterium. Its description in RNAcentral is "bacterial SSU rRNA". It matches the Rfam family "Bacterial small subunit ribosomal RNA", at positions 1 to 639 of the family's 1533-position model. The record is from RNAcentral.